Molecule: long non-coding RNA, 623 nt
Organism: Suricata suricatta (meerkat)
Lineage: Eukaryota; Metazoa; Chordata; Mammalia; Carnivora; Herpestidae
Exons: 2
Source: RefSeq, a predicted model, not a curated record
AGCAGAAGAUGGGUGGAGAUGGGGCAGAACAUUUACUACUAACUUGUGCUCCAAAUGCGAGGAUUGCCAUGUUCCAUGUGCUUCCAGGCAAGACCAUAGCACUGCCAGGGUGCACCUCCCAGAGCUGUGCUUUCCCGCAGGCACUGGUGACCCCAUGUUCCUCCACUACUACUCCUGCCAUGGGGCAGCCACCCUGGGUGCUCCACUUCCUCCCUGAUGCCCCCAAGCCUUCUGAUGUCACUAACAGUUUUGGGACAACCUACACUCUCCCUGCACGAAUCACCAUUUACUUCUGAGACCCUGACCAGGACAGAUACUCCCACUAGUGCCUGACUCAGGGCGGCAAAGAGGGUACAGAAAGCAAAGUCAAGAGUUUGUCACCAGAGCUGGAAGAACAACAGCUUCACGCCCAUUUGGAUGAAGACCAUUUCCAUUGUACAUUUGCCUCAGCAUCAUCUUACCCCGGGGACGUCUGGAGCCUGCGAGGUGUGCAGAUGCUCAUCCUGGAGAGGGGCACCAGUUACUGUGGACAAUGUGGCCUCAGCAGUGUUCCCGCGGUCUCCCUCAAUCUUUGUUAAUCUGCAAGGUAGACACCACAGCCCCUGCAGUAAAUAUCUUAAGGA